Molecule: ribosomal RNA, 468 nt
Filed under: uncultured bacterium
Lineage: Bacteria
Description: partial 16S ribosomal RNA
Rfam family: Bacterial small subunit ribosomal RNA
Source: RNAcentral
GACGAACGCUGGCGGCGUGCUUAACACAUGCAAGUCGAACGGAAAGGCCCUGCUUUUGUGGGGUGCUCGAGUGGCGAACGGGUGAGUAACACGUGAGUAACCUGCCCUUGACUUUGGGAUAACUUCAGGAAACUGGGGCUAAUACCGGAUAGGAGCUCCUGCUGCAUGGUGGGGGUUGGAAAGUUUCGGCGGUUGGGGAUGGACUCGCGGCUUAUCAGCUUGUUGGUGGGGUAGUGGCUUACCAAGGCUUUGACGGGUAGCCGGCCUGAGAGGGUGACCGGCCACAUUGGGACUGAGAUACGGCCCAGACUCCUACGGGAGGCAGCAGUGGGGAAUAUUGCACAAUGGGCGGAAGCCUGAUGCAGCAACGCCGCGUGCUGGAUGACGGCCUUCGGGUUGUAAACCGCUUUCGCCUGUGACGAAGCGUGAGUGACGGUAAUGGGUAGAGAAGCACCGGCUAACUACGUG